CGGUCCCCCCUAAACAAGGGGGCCGGGGAAGGUCCUCUCACACCCUUGUGUACCUUACCAUGUUGCUUUGGCGGGCCGACCCGGUUUCGACCCGGGCGGCCGGCGCCCCCAGCCCUCACCGGCCAGGACGUCAGGCUAAGCGCCCGCCAGUAUACAAAACUCCAGCGUUUAUUUCGUGCAGUUCUGAUAAAUUAUUCAAUUAAUUAAAACUUUCAACAACGGAUCUCUUGGUUCUGGCAUCGAUGAAGAACGCAGCGAAAUGCGAUAAGUAAUGUGAAUUGCAGAAUUCAGUGAAUCAUCGAAUCUUUGAACGCACAUUGCGCCCUCUGGUAUUCCGGAGGGCAUGCCUGUUCGAGCGUCAUUUCAACCCUCAAGCUCUGCUUGGUAUUGGGCGACGUCCGCUGCCGGACGCGCCUCGAAGACCUCGGCGACGGCGUCUUAGCCUCGAGCGUAGUAGUAACAUCUCGCUUUGGAGUGCUAGGCGUUGGCCGCCGG
This 495-nucleotide ribosomal RNA is filed under the name fungal endophyte. RNAcentral describes it as "eukaryotic LSU rRNA". The stretch from base 208 to 361 matches the Rfam family "5.8S ribosomal RNA". The record is from RNAcentral. Lineage: Eukaryota; Fungi.